Molecule: transfer RNA, 77 nt
Filed under: Stenotrophomonas phage Pokken
Lineage: Duplodnaviria; Heunggongvirae; Uroviricota; Caudoviricetes; Schitoviridae
Also listed under: 2 other names
Description: tRNA-Pro
Rfam family: tRNA
About the family: Transfer RNA (tRNA) molecules are approximately 80 nucleotides in length.
Source: RNAcentral
GUGGGUGUAGCGCAGUCUGGUAGCGCGCUUGCUUUGGGAGCAAGAUGUCGGGGGUUCGAAUCCCUCCGCCCGCACCA